GGGGGGGGGGGGGGGGGGGGCUGGGGGGUGGGGGGGGGGGGAGGGGGGGGGGAGGUGGCUCCUCUGACGGUAGCGGCGGACGGGUGCGUAACACGUGGGUAACGUGCCUCUAGGGCUGGGAUCACUUCGGGAAACCGGAGCUAGUACCGGAUAACAUGUUGAACCGCAUGGUUCAACAGUGAAAGACGGUCUUGCUCUCACUUAUCGAUGUGUACUCGACGCCUUAGCUAGGUUGUAAGGUAACGGCUUACCACGGCAACGAUGCGUAGCCGACCUGCUCGGGUGAUCGGCCACACUGGAAGUGAGACACUGUCCAGACUCCUACGGGAGGCCGCAGGAGGGAAUCUUCCGCAAUGGGCGAAAGCCUGACGGAGCAACGCCGCGUGAGUGAAGAAGGUCUUCGGAUCGUAAAACUCUGUUAUUAGGGAAGAACAAAUGUGUAAGUAACUAUGCACGUCUUGACGGUACCUAAUCAGAAAGCCACGGCUAACUACGUG
This 497-nucleotide ribosomal RNA is filed under the name uncultured bacterium. Its description in RNAcentral is "partial 16S ribosomal RNA". It matches the Rfam family "Bacterial small subunit ribosomal RNA", at positions 27 to 507 of the family's 1533-position model. The record is from RNAcentral.